This 469-nucleotide ribosomal RNA is filed under the name uncultured bacterium. Its description in RNAcentral is "bacterial SSU rRNA". It matches the Rfam family "Bacterial small subunit ribosomal RNA", at positions 75 to 518 of the family's 1533-position model. The record is from RNAcentral.
UGUAGCAAUACUAUGUAAAGUCUAGUGGCGUAAGGGUGAGUAACACGUGGGUAAUGUACCCGAUAGUUUGGGAUAACGUUCCGAAAGGGACGCUAAUACCGGACGUGAUGUUAAACCGCCGGGUUUAACAAGAAAGGUGGGGACCGCAAGGCCCUGCCGCUAACGGAACGGCCCGCGACCUAUUAGCUAGUUGGUGGGGUAAAGGCCGUACCAAGGCGAGGAUGGGUAGCCGAACUGAGAGGUUGACCGGCCACACUGGGACUGAGACACUGCCCAGACUUCUACGGAAGGCUGCAGUCGAGAAUCAUUCACAAUGGACGAAAGUCUGAUGAUGCGACGCCGCGUGCGCGAUGAAGGUCUUCGGAUUGUAAAGCGCUUUGAACAGGGAAGAAUGCCGCGUAUUUAAUAGAUAACGCGGAGGGACAGUACCUGACAAACAAGCCCCGGCUAAUUUCGUGCCAGCAGCCGC